UACGUAGGGAGCAAGCGUUGUCCGGAAUCAUUGGGCGUAAAGCGCGCGUAGGUGGCCCCAUAAGUCCGCUGUGAAAGUCAAAGGCUCAACCUUUGAAAGCCGGUGGAUACUGUGGGACUAGAGUACGGAAGAGGCGAGUGGAAUUCCUGGUGUAGCGGUGGAAUGCGCAGAUAUCAGGAGGAACACCGAUAGCGAAGGCAGCUCGCUGGGACAGUACUGACGCUAAGGCGCGAAAGCGUGGGGAGCGAACAGG
This 253-nucleotide ribosomal RNA is filed under the name uncultured bacterium. RNAcentral describes it as "partial 16S ribosomal RNA". It matches the Rfam family "Bacterial small subunit ribosomal RNA", at positions 524 to 776 of the family's 1533-position model. The record is from RNAcentral.